CGUAGGGGGCAAGCGUUGUCCGGAUUUAUUGGGCGUAAAGCGCGCGUAGGCGGCGCGGUAUGUCGUGCGUGAAAUCUCCCGGCUUAACUGGGAGGGGCCGUGCGAAACUGCCGGGCUUGAGGUCGGAAGGGGAAAGUGGAAUUCCGGGUGUAGUGGUGGAAUACGUAGAUAUCCGGAGGAACACCAGCGGCGAAGGCGGCUUUCUGGUCCGAUACUGACGCUGAGGCGCGAAAGCGUGGGGAGCGAUCCGGAUUAGAUACCCGGGUAGUCCACGCCGUAAACGAUGAGUACUAGGUGUCGGGGGUAUCGACCCCCUCGGUGCCGUCGCUAACGCAUUAAGUACUCCGCCUGGGGACUACGGCCGCAAGGCUA
Molecule: ribosomal RNA, 372 nt
Filed under: uncultured organism
Description: bacterial SSU rRNA
Rfam family: Bacterial small subunit ribosomal RNA
Source: RNAcentral